RNAcentral lists this transfer RNA (110 nucleotides) under Candidatus Wukongarchaeota archaeon. RNAcentral's name for it is "tRNA-Asn". It matches the Rfam family "tRNA". Rfam says of the family: Transfer RNA (tRNA) molecules are approximately 80 nucleotides in length. Lineage: Archaea; Promethearchaeati; Candidatus Wukongarchaeota. The record is from RNAcentral.
GCCGGGGUAGCUUAGUUGGUAGAGCGUCUGGCUGUUAACCAGACGGUCGGAGGUUCGAGAAUAGCGUAGUUUUUAGGGCUACGUUGGCGGAAAUCCUCUCCCCGGCGCCA